GUGCAAAUGAUGGAAAACAGCUUCACCUGAGUACAGUGAUGUUAUCAAAGGAACCACUGAUGCAC
Pelodiscus sinensis (Chinese soft-shelled turtle) is the source of this 65-nucleotide small nucleolar RNA. Its record names the gene SNORD42. It matches the Rfam family "Small nucleolar RNA SNORD42". From Rfam's summary of the family: snoRNA U42 is found in intron 3 of the ribosomal protein L23a (RPL23a) gene in humans and is also present in mice. U42 is a member of the C/D class of snoRNA which contain C (UGAUGA) and D (CUGA) box motifs. The record is from Ensembl. NCBI's taxonomy places the organism in Eukaryota, Metazoa, Chordata, Testudines, Trionychidae.